RNAcentral lists this ribosomal RNA (252 nucleotides) under uncultured bacterium. RNAcentral describes it as "partial 16S ribosomal RNA". It matches the Rfam family "Bacterial small subunit ribosomal RNA", at positions 524 to 776 of the family's 1533-position model. The record is from RNAcentral.
UACGAAGGGGGCUAGCGUUGCUCGGAAUUACUGGGCGUAAAGCGCACGUAGGCGGCUUUCUAAGUCGGGGGUGAAAUCCUGGAGCUCAACUCCAGAACUGCCUUCGAUACUGGAAAGCUCGAGUCCGGGAGAGGUGAGUGGAACUGCGAGUGUAGAGGUGAAAUUCGUAGAUAUUCGCAAGAACCCCAGUGGCGAAGGCGGCUCACUGGCCCGGUACUGACGCUGAGGUGCGAAAGCGUGGGAGCAAACAGG